GCCGCCGCCUCGUGCGGGAUGGCGCCGCGCGUCGGCUUCAGCCCGGCGAUGCCGGCCGAGGCCGACGGCCCGCGGAUCGACCCUGCCCCGUCGGUACC
RNAcentral lists this transfer RNA (98 nucleotides) under Allostella sp. ATCC 35155. Its description in RNAcentral is "Stella sp. ATCC 35155 tRNA-SeC". The record is from RNAcentral. Lineage: Bacteria; Pseudomonadati; Pseudomonadota; Alphaproteobacteria; Rhodospirillales; Allostellaceae.